GAUGAACGCUGGCGGCGUGCCUAACACAUGCAAGUCGAACGGAGUCCAGCCUUAGAGACCUUCGGGUCAAAGAGGGGAAGCCUGAGUGGCGGACGGGUGAGUAACACGUGGGCAACCUGGCUCAUAGAGGGGGAUAACAGAGAGAAAUUUCUGCUAAUACCGCAUAAGCACACACUGCCGCAUGGCAGAGUGUGAAAAGAGAAUCGCUAUGAGAUGGACCCGCGUCUGAUUAGCCAGUUGGCAGGGUAAGAGCCUACCAAAGCGACGAUCAGUAGCCGAUUUGAGAGGAUGAACGGCCACAUUGGGACUGAGACACGGCCCAAACUCCUACGGGAGGCAGCAGUGGGGGAUAUUGCACAAUGGGGGGAACCCUGAUGCAGCGACGCCGCGUGAGUGAAGAAGUAUUUCGGUAUGUAAAGCUCUAUCAGCAGGGAAGAUAAUGGCAGUACCUGAAUAAGAAGCCCCGGCUAACUACGUG
This 478-nucleotide ribosomal RNA is filed under the name uncultured bacterium. RNAcentral's name for it is "partial 16S ribosomal RNA". It matches the Rfam family "Bacterial small subunit ribosomal RNA", at positions 28 to 507 of the family's 1533-position model. The record is from RNAcentral.